Molecule: ribosomal RNA, 370 nt
Filed under: uncultured organism
Description: partial 16S ribosomal RNA
Rfam family: Bacterial small subunit ribosomal RNA
Source: RNAcentral
AGAGGGUGCGAGCGUUAAUCGGAAUUACUGGGCGUAAAGGGCUUGUAGGUGGAUUUGUAAGUUAGAUGUGAAAGGCCUGGGCUUAACCUUGGGACUGCAUUUAAAACUGUGGAUCUAGAGUACAGUAGAGGAAAGUGGAAUUUCCGGUGUAGCGGUGAAAUGCGUAGAUAUCGGAAGGAACACCAGUGGCGAAGGCGGCUUUCUGGACUGAUACUGACACUGAAGAGCGAAAGCGUGGGGAGCGAACAGGGAUUAGAUACCCUGGUAGUCCACGCUGUAAACGAUGAGAACUAGCCCGACUGGAGCUUCGGCUCUGGGUGGCGCAGCUAACGCGUUAAGUUCUCCGCCUGGGGAUACGGCCGCAAGGUUA